CCGGUUCACUGAUGAUUUAUUUUCACAUAUUUUCCUUAUAAAUUAAGCUAAUACAUAAUGUUGGAGGGAUGGUUCAUCUCCUACUUCAACUUCUAGGUGAAGUUAGUUAAGCAAGAGUCAGAUAUGUUGAGACCCAUCACGUAUUCCCCUAAGAGACUGGAACAACCAGUCCCAAACACCAAAGAGUUUAAAGUGUGUUGCUACAGCUAUAUUCAGAAAAAGAUUUGGAAACUGUGUCAGCUCCAUUUCAAGCAGUUAAGAUCUGCUGUGAUUGCGGCUUGAAGUUCUGCGGGGAAAACUGUCCUGCUGGAAGAGUAUGGAACAAUAUAACUGAAGCUGUAUUUAACUACUGCUUUGGAAUCUAGUACUGCACAGCUCUAUGUAAUCCUCCAGGCACUUUAAUCAGAGACAAAUUUCACCUACCAUGUCCA
Molecule: long non-coding RNA, 431 nt
Filed under: Gallus gallus (chicken)
Lineage: Eukaryota; Metazoa; Chordata; Aves; Galliformes; Phasianidae
Description: long non-coding RNA NONGGAT004540
Source: RNAcentral